This 1026-nucleotide long non-coding RNA is filed under the name Ursus maritimus (polar bear). Its description in RNAcentral is "lncRNA (ENSUMAG00000021922.1)". The record is from RNAcentral. Lineage: Eukaryota; Metazoa; Chordata; Mammalia; Carnivora; Ursidae.
AGAAGCAUGUGUCUACACACACUUUUGCCACAUAUAACAGAACAACUUUCCCCAAGCCUUUAAGUUCAAAGUCAAGAAACACAAGGAAGGGGCUAUUUCCAUACUUCUGCUGUGCUCAGGGUUAGUUAGCUCUUCGAAUCACGCCUCUCUUCCAACUGGGGAUUUGAAUUCCUUAGAAAGACAGUAUAUGGAGGGCAGGAAGUUAAGGACCCCGGUCCUUCUUCUGACCCUACCACUGGCUGUGUGACCUGGAGACAAGGCUUUGCUGCCUGGGUUUCACCGCAGUUAGUAGGGCAGAGGCUGCAGUGUCAGCCCUCUAGCUCCUGCUGUAGGUGUAGACUCUGGUCGGUGGCCAGAGGAAGGUAUGACGGGAGAGAGAAGGUGAGGGUUGAAGAGACAGGGUAGCCCUCAUCCCCCGGAGAGUGGCAUAGUAUGCAGCUGGGAAAGGAUCGGGAUCCAGACAUUUCAGCUGCAUGCACUGCUUAUCUCAUCCAUUGUUGCAAGAAUGAUAUAGAUGACUUUAAAAGAAAGGUAUUUACAGGUGUCACAGUGCUGGGCACUUGAUUGGGUGACGUGAGGACCACAGUGGCGGACCAGCAAUGGACCAUUCGCCGUUGCUUGCCAACAACUCUGGGGAAACGGCUGCCUGUGAGUGGGACCAGCCAGACGCUACGGAACGUGAUAAACUGGAAAAUGCUAUCUCAACCUUUCUAUUUAAGUCGUCAAGUAUUCACCAGCCACAUUCCUUCAGGAGAGCCCCCAUACGAUUCAUGUUUGGUUCUCUCACCUGACGUCUCCCACCAAAGAGAGCAGCCCAGCCUGUUGUGCAGAGUACAGAAUGUUCUCUUCUGUGAACUGAGCUUGAACUUCUCCAACCCACUUUGUCUGAGGAAUCACACAGACACAGAGGGGAAAAGGCAGUGAAGAUAACCCCCAAAUUGUUGAAAUCGUGUUCUCUCUCGUUUUGGCCCAGAUCGGUUGCUUUUCACUACGGGUAAUGAAAAAUCCCAAGCAUUACAGUUCUUG